RNAcentral lists this ribosomal RNA (489 nucleotides) under uncultured bacterium. Its description in RNAcentral is "partial 16S ribosomal RNA". It matches the Rfam family "Bacterial small subunit ribosomal RNA", at positions 30 to 507 of the family's 1533-position model. The record is from RNAcentral.
AUUGAACGCUGGCGGCAGGCUUAACACAUGCAAGUCGAACGGUAGCAGGAGAAAGCUUGCUUUCUUGCUGACGAGUGGCGGACGGGUGAGUAAUGCUUGGGAAUCUGGCUUAUGGAGGGGGAUAACUACGGGAAACUGUAGCUAAUACCGCGUAAUAUCUUCGGAUUAAAGACUGGGACUUUUAGCCAUUCGCCAUAAGAUGAGCCCAAGUGGGAUUAGGUAGUUGGUGGGGUAAAGGCCUACCAAGCCGACGAUCUCUAGCUGGUCUGAGAGGAUGACCAGCCACACUGGAACUGAGACACGGUCCAGACUCCUACGGGAGGCAGCAGUGGGGAAUAUUGCGCAAUGGGGGCAACCCUGACGCAGCCAUGCCGCGUGAAUGAAGAAGGCCUUCGGGUUGUAAAGUUCUUUCGGUGGUGAGGAAGGCUAAUAUGUUAAUAGCAUAUUAGAUUGACGCUAGCCACAGAAGAAGCACCGGCUAACUCCGUG